UAAAAAAAGAAAGAGAGAAGGCCGA
This 25-nucleotide non-coding RNA is filed under the name Drosophila melanogaster (fruit fly). The record is from RNAcentral. Lineage: Eukaryota; Metazoa; Arthropoda; Insecta; Diptera; Drosophilidae.